RNAcentral lists this small nuclear RNA (107 nucleotides) under Aotus nancymaae (Ma's night monkey). Lineage: Eukaryota; Metazoa; Chordata; Mammalia; Primates; Aotidae. The record is from RNAcentral.
GUGCUUGCUUUGGCAGCACAUAUACUAAAAUUGGAACAAUACAGAAAAGAUUAGCAUGGCCCCUGCUCAAGGAUGACAUGUAAAUUCGUGAAGCCUUCCAUAUUAAA